Molecule: long non-coding RNA, 504 nt
Organism: Adelges cooleyi (spruce gall adelgid)
Lineage: Eukaryota; Metazoa; Arthropoda; Insecta; Hemiptera; Adelgidae
Exons: 5
Source: RefSeq, a predicted model, not a curated record
CAAACGUACAACGCACAGUUGCUCUAGUAUUGUAUUCUACAUCCUUGGUGUUUAGUAAUAUUAACUACUUGUAAAAAUGAAUUUGAAUCAUAUCAUUUGUAUUCUAGCCACCAUAUUUUGUAUAAUGAUGUCGGGUGUAACAGCUCCAGGUCCAACACAUCCAGUUACAACAGAUCCUGACACGUUUCCCCCUCCUGCUAAUAUUCGCGACACUUUACCCCCUACUCUGCCAAAUCCUAAUCCCACUAAUUUUCCUGAAGAUUAAUAACGACAGUUAAUAACACGGUUAAACGCAAAUACUACCAACAAAGCUGCAGUAUCCUAAAUCAGUACCACAUUUUGAAAAUACAUAUGCUUAUUAAUUAAUACGUGUAUAUUGUAAAAUUUUCAUCUUUGUUUAUCAUAAUUAUUAUGUUUCAACCUACAGAUUUGUCUAAUAACAAUGUAUUAUAAAUAACAUAUUUGUCGAUUACAUACACCAAUAAAAAUCAUAUUCACCGAAUA